Molecule: long non-coding RNA, 203 nt
Filed under: Elaeis guineensis (African oil palm)
Lineage: Eukaryota; Viridiplantae; Streptophyta; Magnoliopsida; Arecales; Arecaceae
Description: long non-coding RNA (EGUI_LNC017515)
Source: RNAcentral
UGGUGUCAAACCUAAAAUCAUUAAUUACACAUCCAUUAUAACACACCACUUGCUGGAUAGAACCAUGAGCAAGUGAUAAUAAGUGUUUAUACACUUCUUUACUUUUAGAAUUAUACAAUUAUGUCACCUAUUCAAUUCAAAAAAAAUAAAAAUAUAUUCAAGUCAAUAAUCAGUUAAUAGAAAUAAGAGAUAAAUACACACAU